Molecule: long non-coding RNA, 415 nt
Organism: Xenia sp. Carnegie-2017
Lineage: Eukaryota; Metazoa; Cnidaria; Anthozoa; Malacalcyonacea; Xeniidae
Exons: 2
Source: RefSeq, a predicted model, not a curated record
UAUGAGACGUGGCUAAAAGCCGGUAAAGUACGGGUACAAAACGUCGGCAGGUAGUCGUGGAAGAUACAUACGUUGUACUUUGGUCGUUUAACUUAUGUUAUUGUGUCAUUGGUAAUAUCGAUAAUAUUUUCUGAUUUGUGAUUUUCUUGCUGGUAAUUUUAAAAGAUGCCAAGGAGCAAUAAAAGGUUUAAAGCAACUGUAGCUGUCACAUAUCAUGAUGAGGAUGGCCAUGUUGAGAGAGGAGGUGGAUUUGUCAGAAUUGGUUACUGAGGAUCAUAGAGGAAGCUGUUCUUUUAACAGUCCUGAUAAUUGUGGUGCAUUGGAAGGCCAUGAACUGGGAAUGGAACAAGAUAACAGUGAUCUUGAAAGUGAUGUUCACCAUGAUUGUGAAGAAUCAUCUUCUUAUUACCAGAAA